GCAUGGUGUCCAAAACAGUCAGCCAA
RNAcentral lists this non-coding RNA (26 nucleotides) under Homo sapiens (human). The record is from RNAcentral. Lineage: Eukaryota; Metazoa; Chordata; Mammalia; Primates; Hominidae.